GACCUGUGUAACAAUUAACUGAGGGAGUCCCUCCUCCCUGCACCCUGCCCUGGGGACCAUCAGCCUCAGGGCCACCCCUUUGUGAUCCCUGCUGCAGGGGCUGAGCUGAGAUGGCUGCGACCUCCCGUCCCGGCCCAGGCCCCGUGCCACUCUGGACACAGGGGGAACUCACAAAUACAACUGGAAUAUCUUAAGAAGGGUGCGCCCACCCAGUGCCUCACACCUGUAAUCCCACUACAUUGAGAGGCCAACGCGGGCAGAUCCUUGAGCCUAACCUGGGCAACUUAGUCAAGCCCUACCUCUACAAAAAUAGAAAAAUUAGCCAGGCGCGGCGGGCACCUGCAGGCCCAGCUACUAGGGUGUGCUGAAGUGGGAGGAUCACUUGAGCCCAGGAGUUUGAGGCUGCAGCCAGUUAUGGCCGCACCACCGCACUCCAGCCUGGGUGACAGAGGAAGACCCUGUCUCAAAGGAAAUAAAAAAAAUUAGAAAUACAAAGAGUUACCAAGGCUGGGUACAGUGUCUCACGCCUGUAAUCCCAGCACUCUGGGAGGCUAAGGCGGGAGAAUCGCUUGAGGCCAGGAGUUCCAGACCAACCUCCUCCCGUCUCUAAAAUAAAAAAUGUAAAACUUAGCUGAGCAUGGUGGCCUGCACCUGUAGUCUCAGCUACUCAAAGAGACUGAGGUGAGAGGAUCGCUUGAGCCCAGGAGUUCGAGGCUGCAGCGAGCUACGACUGCACCACUGCAUGCACCACCGCACUCCAGCCUGGGCAACAGAACAAGACCUUGUCUCUCAAAGCAAAUUUGAGAGUCACCUUUUGUGCUCUCAGAGUACACAUGAGGCUCCGUGCUCGGCAAUUUCACAGAUCGCAUUUCCUUUUCUUAACACCCCGUGAAAUGGUGCCGGUCUCAUUGUGCCCAGGAAAGUCAAGGUCACGCAGCAGGUCUGACCUGGGAUUUGAAGCCGGGUCUGCCUCGCCCCCAGCUUAUCCUGCCUCGCCCAGGCUCUUGGCCCCUGAGGACCCACAAGCAGCCAUGGGAGCACACAGGGACAGGGAAGGUGUGCAGAGGCCACAUGCCCGUGGUCCACCUGCAAACCGGGACGCUCUCACGUGGGGAUGCCCGGGAGCGUUGAUGACUCAGGCUCCAGGCUCUCCUGUCCUCAACCUUGGUCCCUCGGCUGAUUAGAUAGUGGGCCCUGCCCGGGCGAAGGGGGACCCCGCCCCAGCUGACACGGGAGCAGCCAUGGCCCAGACGAGUGGUAGGAAGGCCCGGCGUCAUCGCACAGGUGUUUAUGGAGCGCCUGCUGAGUCGCUGUCACUUCCUCUCUUCCGGAGGUCUGCGGAUGACCGCUGAGCAGACCGGCCACUCAGCAGGAUGGGGCUCACACAUCCCAGCCCCAGGAUGGCCACAGGUCUGCUUGAACCAGCCAGGCAGGCAUCUAUUAAACUCUGACUGUGUAUCCCGUCUUGUGCAGGGCUUGGAAGAGAAGGAGGCCUUGGUGCUGUCUGGGAGCUCUCGAUCUGAUUAGGAAGUCAGGACCACCCCCCAGAGACAAGCAAACCCAGCAGCCGAGGCGGGGGCUGGAGAAGAUUUGGAGUUUGCUGACGGCUUGGCUGAGGCUGAGCCGGGCAGGCUCUGCGUAUGUGAAAGUCGCCAGCGUCCAACCCCCGGAACCUGCCGGCUGGGAAGGAGAAAGCCGUCCGCUGCGACCGGGCAGCUCAGGGUUUGCAGAAAGGGCUCCGGCGCGCGUAAGUUCUGUCUACACGACCGCCAAAGCGUCCGGAACCCGGAUUCAG
RNAcentral lists this long non-coding RNA (1795 nucleotides) under Homo sapiens (human). RNAcentral describes it as "HSALNT0254592". The record is from RNAcentral. Lineage: Eukaryota; Metazoa; Chordata; Mammalia; Primates; Hominidae.